UAUGGCCAUAUCAUAUUGAAACACAGGUUUCUGGAUGAUCAUUGAAGUUAAGCAACACUGAUUCUGGUCAGUACCUAGAUGGGUGACCACUUGGGAAUACCAGGUGCUGUAA
This is a non-coding RNA of Acanthosepion pharaonis, 112 nucleotides long. NCBI's taxonomy places the organism in Eukaryota, Metazoa, Mollusca, Cephalopoda, Sepiida, Sepiidae. The record is from the annotation of a GenBank genome assembly.